This 500-nucleotide ribosomal RNA is filed under the name uncultured bacterium. RNAcentral's name for it is "partial 16S ribosomal RNA". It matches the Rfam family "Bacterial small subunit ribosomal RNA", at positions 30 to 523 of the family's 1533-position model. The record is from RNAcentral.
AUUGAACGCUGGCGGCAGGCCUAACACAUGCAAGUCGAGCGGAUGACGGGAGCUUGCUCCUUGAUUCGGCGGCGGACGGGUGAGUAAUGCCUAGGAAUCUGCCUGGUAGUGGGGGACAACGUUUCGAAAGGAACGCUAAUACCGCAUACGUCCUACGGGAGAAAGCAGGGGACCUUCGGGCCUUGCGCUAUCAGAUGAGCCUAGGUCGGAUUAGCUAGUAGGUGAGGUAAUGGCUCACCUAGGCGACGAUCCGUAACUGGUCUGAGAGGAUGAUCAGUCACACUGGAACUGGGACACGGUCCAGACUCCUACGGGAGGCAGCAGUGGGGAAUAUUGGACAAUGGGCGAAAGCCUGAUCCAGCCAUGCCGCGUGUGUGAAGAAGGUCUUCGGAUUGUAAAGCACUUUAAGUUGGGAGGAAGGGCAGUAAGUUAAUACCUUGCUGUUUUGACGUUACCGACAGAAUAAGCACCGGCUAACUCUGUGCCAGCCGCCGCAGUAA